CCACCCUGCAGGUGGUUAGAGAGGUGAGGACCAGCAGGACCGUGUUGUAGAUCAGAACCAGGCCCACUGGGAGGAGAAAAGCCCAGAACAUGGGUUUCCCAAAGCUGAAGUGUUUGUCCAGGUCCAGAGCGGCGAGCCAGCAGCUGCAGCAUGAAAACACAGCAGAUCAAACAUCUGUUCAGCAUCAAAAGGGCUUCACAGUGGAGCUGAAGAGAUGAGGAUUCAGAACCGACUCACAACUCCUCCUGUCUGUAUCCCAGAGGGUUCUCCACCCUGUAGGUCGCUGCCAGUGUGAUCACCAUGACAACGGCUGGGACUCCUAACAGAAAGCAAAACAAACUGAAGCAACGGCCUGAAAAAGAACAGGGGGUUGGUUCCUGAGGGGUCGGCCCACUACAUGACCCACUGAUCGGGUAUGAAGUAUAGAACCAUUUUUCUUCACAACAGUGCAUGGAGAUGUCUGCUUACCUCUGAGUUGUGUUGCUCUCCUCCAUCUCUUGGGACUUUGUGGCAUUGAGCAGCUGGCUGACGGUAGCGACGGCUGCCACCCUGACAGACUGCAAACAAGAACCAGAACUCUGAAAAUGUCUACCUCAGAGGUGUUUGGAGACAGCAGCAGCGUGUUGGCGAUCUGAGCUGCUACUGUGAUGUUUUCAGCUGUCAGGUCUCCAGGUCUGGAGGUCAGAAGCUGAGUGCUGGAUGCCAGUAUCUCCAGGUCUGCUAGACUGGUCAGCUGAAGAACAAAAAGAGAACCUCAUUAUGAACUUUUCAGUUCCUCUGAUUAAAUUGUUCAUGUA
Girardinichthys multiradiatus is the source of this 797-nucleotide long non-coding RNA. RefSeq lists it as uncharacterized. The transcript has 3 exons. NCBI's taxonomy places the organism in Eukaryota, Metazoa, Chordata, Actinopteri, Cyprinodontiformes, Goodeidae. The record is from RefSeq and is a predicted model, not a curated record.